UACGGAGGGGGCUAGCGUUGUUCGGAAUUACUGGGCGUAAAGCGCGCGUAGGCGGAUCUGCAAGUCGGGGGUGAAAUCCCGAGGCUCAACCUCGGAACUGCCUUCGAUACUGCGGGUCUCGAGUCCGGGAGAGGUGAGUGGAAUUCCGUAGUGUAGAGGUGAAAUUCGUAGAUAUUAGGAAGAACACCAGUGGCGAAGGCGGCUCACUGGGCCAACACUGACGCUCAGGCAC
Molecule: ribosomal RNA, 232 nt
Filed under: uncultured bacterium
Lineage: Bacteria
Description: partial 16S ribosomal RNA
Rfam family: Bacterial small subunit ribosomal RNA
Source: RNAcentral